CGCAAGUUGCGCCCGAGGCUUGUCCAAGGGCAUUUCCGCUAGAGCGUCAC
RNAcentral lists this ribosomal RNA (50 nucleotides) under Homalothecium fulgescens. RNAcentral's name for it is "5.8S ribosomal RNA". Lineage: Eukaryota; Viridiplantae; Streptophyta; Bryopsida; Hypnales; Brachytheciaceae. RNAcentral also lists the same sequence under 11 other names. The record is from RNAcentral.